RNAcentral lists this ribosomal RNA (156 nucleotides) under Phomopsis sp. MA194. RNAcentral's name for it is "5.8S ribosomal RNA". It matches the Rfam family "5.8S ribosomal RNA". From Rfam's summary of the family: 5.8S ribosomal RNA (5.8S rRNA) is a component of the large subunit of the eukaryotic ribosome. It is transcribed by RNA polymerase I as part of the 45S precursor that also contains 18S and 28S rRNA. The record is from RNAcentral. Lineage: Eukaryota; Fungi; Ascomycota; Sordariomycetes; Diaporthales; Diaporthaceae.
AACUUUCAACAACGGAUCUCUUGGUUCUGGCAUCGAUGAAGAACGCAGCGAAAUGCGAUAAGUAAUGUGAAUUGCAGAAUUCAGUGAAUCAUCGAAUCUUUGAACGCACAUUGCGCCCUCUGGUAUUCCGGAGGGCAUGCCUGUUCGAGCGUCAUU